RNA transcript from Carcharodon carcharias (great white shark), 3768 nucleotides. It is a transcript of the gene named EEF1A lysine methyltransferase 2, with no coding region annotated. The record is from RefSeq and is a predicted model, not a curated record. The transcript is spliced from 8 exons. Lineage: Eukaryota; Metazoa; Chordata; Chondrichthyes; Lamniformes; Lamnidae.
UUCCUGGGUCAACAGCGAUGGAAGAUAUUGGGUAUCCACAUGGCUGCGAGAGGCAGGAGAAAGCAGUCGCUCAGAGCCAAUCCUCAUCCAAUGAUGAAUUUCAGCCUUCUAAAUUAGGAACUAAAGAAUAUUGGGAUCAUGCUUAUGAAAGGGAGUUGCAGUCCUUUUAUGACUCAGGCGAUGUUGGUGAGAUUUGGUUUGGUGAAGAAAGCAUGGAUCGUAUAAUAACCUGGUUGGAAAUGCAAAAAAUCUCCAAGGAUGUUGCCCUUCUGGACAUUGGGACAGGAAAUGGUGUUUUUUUGAUUGAACUCGCAAAAUCCGGAUUUACUAACUUGACUGGAAUUGAUAAUUCUUCUACUGCUGUGGAACUUGCUAAAGCUAUCGCUGAAAAGGAAGAGGUGAUGUCUUUGAAAUUACAGGUGGCAGACUUUUUGCAUCCAUUUCCUAAACUUUCUCAGUAUGAUAUUUGCAUAGACAAGGGGACCUUUGAUGCCAUUAGCUUAAGUCCUGACCACCCAGCUGAAAAACGGAGCUUAUAUCAGCAGUCCUUGCAUAGUGUUCUGAAAGAGGGAGGCAUGUUCCUUAUAACAAGCUGUAACUGGACCAAAGAGGAACUAGUCAAUCACUUCAGUGAAGGAUUUGAGAUGCUGCAGGAGUUACCAACACCUAAAUUCCAGUUUGGAGGAAAGAUUGGAAAUAGUGUAACAGCACUGGUUUUCAGACGGAAGUAAUAAGUCAGGAUAACUGCAGAUCACAAGACUCUCCCAGCAUUCAGCUCCAAACUGCUACCCUUCUAGAACCAAAACUACUUGAACAAAAUGCAGCUCGUUCCAUGAGAUUUGAUUUUUGAUUACUUUUGCGUCUUAAUUUCAAAAUCCUGCUAGUCAAUGGACACUUCUUUGUGAAAUUGAUUACUUUCAGCCUGAGACCAAUCACUCAAUGAAGCCUGACGCCAUAACUAUAAUGGUUAUAAAAAUGUACCCUAAAAUGGUCUGUGACUCUUCUAAUGAAGAACUUGUUAUUAUUCCCCUCCUUGCCCCACUGCAGACUGUAACAUCACACAGUAUUCACAAAGUGCACUAAUGGCCUCUGGUGGCAGCAGUCUGGGAAUGCAUGAAUGUGUGGCAUCACAUUAACACGAUCUGUACUUGGGAAGAACUUCAGUGUGAAAACAACAGAUUGCAGUUCAGUCACUUAUUCCAAGAAUGCAGUGAAUUCAUAAUUGCCUUAUUUUGCACCAUGUUCAAAAUCUGCAUAAAAAGAUAUCAGAGAUUGUUUUGAUACCUCAAAAUGUUUUACAUGGCGGAGGACACCAAGCAGGAGGGAGGGAAGGGCUAUGAGGAAGAAAAAUAUACAGUCAAAGAGAAGGCUCUUAAGGAUCAUUUUGAAGCUGAACAUAAAAGAUCCGGUUUUGAAGAGGACCAUUGUUUGAAUCAAGAUUCAUCCAUGAACAAACACAAACACCAAAAUGAAAUGGAUUGAGCAGCCAUUUUAUUUGCUGUUUGCAGGCCUUGUGUGUAAUUUGGUUCUACACUUCAGCAAAAUUCAUUGGCUGUGAAGUACAUUUAAGAAGUCCUCAUAAAAUGCGUUGCAGUUGCAUGUUCUUUAUAUCAAUCUGCGCAGCAUAUUGAUAGUAAAGAGUCACUUACCCCUCCUCUUGCUUUUAAAAUGCUCUCUCUCAGACUCUUAUUGCUUGAAGCUCCAUUGUUUGUAUGGCGUUUACAAUCGCCUGUGCUAUUUUUCUGACAAGAAAGGUUCUAAAAAACCUCACUACAGCUUUCGCUUUGGUUGUAAUGGAAAAUCUGAUUCAAUUAACGUUGUUUCACUUAAAGUGGCACUUUUCAGGAAUGCAACUACAAUGUUAAUUGAGGAAUUACUGUAUUGAAAUGUGUUCUAUUCCUAAAAGUGUUUUGUGUUCCCAGCAAAUUCCGGGUUCAAAUUUGUAACAAAUUUGUGUACAGUACAGCUGACUUUAGUGUACCCAUAUGCUUGUUGGGUGUCUGCAAGGAAUACUGUAACUUGAGGAGCAUUUUAAACACCUUAAAGCACAAUCCAGCAUUCUAGUUCAGCACAAACAGAAUUUUAUAAGUGACAAAUCUUCCUAAUAAGGACUAUUUUGUUGAACCCCAUUAGUUUCUAAUAAUGAAAUUGACGUACAGAUAUUGUUGUUGUUCUACCAGCCAUUAUCCCCUUUUGUAAGCAUCAAAUGCCUCAAGAAUUUGAUCAACAAAAAGAGGCAAUUAGUGCCUUAUGCAUGUGGAAAUUAAAAUUGUAAUUGCUAAAUUGAAUUUAUCUGAAAUUGUAUUUCAUGCUUGCCAUUCCAGAAGUUUACAAAUAAGAACAGGACUGUAGAACCACUGAAGUUGCAUUUUUGUUAAAGUAAAUGUGCCUAAAUCAUGAUAAUUUGAGAAAUGUUUAACAUAUUCCGAAUGUUUUCAGGAACCAGUGUGCACUUUGGAAAUGAGGUAUAUAUAUUUGUCCUAAAUGUUUUUAUACAGAGUUGAGUAAUGUUGUUUGGAGAGGGUUUAUAGACACAUACAGAUGUGGCUGAAUGAUAAGAAUUCAUAAAUGUCCCAGCAAAUGCUUUGGCAAAUGCAGGCCACUAUGAAAUCCCAUUAAGUUAAUAUUCCUUCUGGCACCCACACUCUGUUUACUGAAAAGUACAUCAUGCAUUGCAGAGUGUAGUGAGAGGAUGUACCAAAUUAGCUAUAUGAGUAAUGCACUCUUCAGAGCCUUACUUUGCUCUGAUUGUUUUCUAAAGAGCAGGCGAGUCAGUAACUAGUUUAGUUCGAUGUAUACUGUGUUUCUUUAAUUAGUGCACCUUAACAUUUAACCCAAAUGCCCAGAGAGCUUUUAUUUUCUCUCCCCUUUUGACCAUAGCCUUUCCAGGUUAACUGUGUUCCAGAGAGUGGACAAUGGUUUACUCCUGGACACCUUUUAGCUCUGCUGUAAAUCAGUAACUGUGAUGAUUGUUCCUCUGAUGUUUCCUUGCCUUGUGGGGAAAUUCCUAGCUCCACUUGGCCCUUCCUGCAGUACGAGUACCAAGUCUAGAUCUUCAGCAGUGUGGGUGAUCACAGUUACAAACCAAUGCCUUGUUACUUAUAGAAUUGCACAUUACUGCUUCAAUACAUGGCACCAGAAACUGCCUGAUUGAUUCGUUUAACUUCCUGAGAAGUGUAGGAAUGCAAUGCAAUUGUAUACAUAGUCAUGUUAUAGGCUACCUAUUUUUUCAGAUUGUAAUCACUAAAUAUGACCCUAAGGCCUAAACAAGACACAUCAAUUCCCUUGUAUUCAUUUGAAGACUUUUCUGUGAUACUUUUGUUUUCGUGAUUUGUAACAACCAGGGUGGUAGGGCCAUUUGAGACCUCUGGGAGUGGUCAGUUCUGCCCUUUUGCGAGUCGCCCCAGGCACAGGUAAGGGUCCCAUGCUCAGAGUUAUGAGCCAUGACCCAUGGUGGAACCAUAGAGCCUUUGGUGCUGAUGGCAGAAGAGCUAGUACCUCAAGGGACAGGUGGAGGAUCCUUUGGGAACAGGACUUGUGUUUGCUUUAAGGACAUUUGAGGAAAGCAAGAGGAAACUGCCUUGUGCAUUUAUUCCCUUUGAAAUUGGAAAUGGGAGGCGACUACAAGCAACUGAAGAGGAAAAUGCAAAACCAUGAGGUAUGGAGAAAUGAGCAGAGGACUGUCCUUAGGCACAUCACUAGUACAACAGUGCAUGUAUUUUAAAAUGUAAGCUUUUCAUUAAAAUUAUUUUUAAAAUGUAUUUUAAA